GCCAAGGUAGUAUAGUGGUAGUACACUGCGUUGUGGAAGACACAGUACCGCAAUGACCCCGGUUCGAUUCCGGGCCUUGGCA
Molecule: transfer RNA, 82 nt
Organism: Spizellomyces punctatus DAOM BR117
Lineage: Eukaryota; Fungi; Chytridiomycota; Chytridiomycetes; Spizellomycetales; Spizellomycetaceae
Rfam family: tRNA
About the family: Transfer RNA (tRNA) molecules are approximately 80 nucleotides in length. Their secondary structure includes four short double-helical elements and three loops (D, anti-codon, and T loops).
Source: Rfam